Molecule: ribosomal RNA, 119 nt
Filed under: Pteropus alecto (black flying fox)
Lineage: Eukaryota; Metazoa; Chordata; Mammalia; Chiroptera; Pteropodidae
Source: RNAcentral
GUCUAUGGCCAUGCCACCCUGAAUGUGCCUGAUCCCAUCUGAUCUUGGAAGCUAAGCAGGGUUGGGCCUGGUUAGUACUGGGAUGGGAGACCACCUAGGAAGACCAGCUGCUGGAGGCA